This 355-nucleotide unclassified non-coding RNA is filed under the name soil metagenome. RNAcentral's name for it is "partial contains 5.8S ribosomal RNA, internal transcribed spacer 2, and large subunit ribosomal RNA". The stretch from base 1 to 120 matches the Rfam family "5.8S ribosomal RNA", at positions 35 to 154 of the family's 154-position model. The record is from RNAcentral.
GAUGAAGAACGUAGCGAAAUGCGAUAAGUAAUGUGAAUUGCAGAAUUCAGUGAAUCAUCGAAUCUUUGAACGCACAUUGCGCCCAUUAGUAUUCUAGUGGGCAUGCCUGUUCGAGCGUCAUUAAGUCCACUUAAGCCUAGCUUAGUGUUGGGAGACUGCUCCAGUGGUGCUACCCUGUAGCUACCCUGCAGCUCCUUAAAGACAGCGGCGGAGUCGUGUUAUCCUCUGAGCUUAGUAAAGCAUUCUAGCUUUCGAGAGUAUCACUUCACCUGCCGUUAAACCACCUAAUUUUUAUGGUUGACCUCGGAUCAGGUAGGAAUACCCGCUGAACUUAAGCAUAUCAAUAAGCGGAGGA